This 444-nucleotide ribosomal RNA is filed under the name uncultured bacterium. RNAcentral's name for it is "bacterial SSU rRNA". It matches the Rfam family "Bacterial small subunit ribosomal RNA", at positions 331 to 793 of the family's 1533-position model. The record is from RNAcentral.
CCAGACUCCUACGGGAGGCAGCAGUGGGGGAUAUUGCACAAUGGGGGAAACCCUGAUGCAGCGACGCCGCGUGAGUGAAGAAGUAUUUCGGUAUGUAAAGCUCUAUCAGCAGGGACGAAAAUGACGGUACCUGAGUAAGAAGCUCCGGCUAACUACGUGCCAGCAGCCGCGGUAAUACGUAGGGAGCAAGCGUUGUCCGGAAUUACUGGGUGUAAAGGGAGCGUAGGCGGGAGGAUAAGUUGAAUGUGAAAUCUAUGGGCUCAACCCAUAGCUGCGUUCAAAACUGUUCUUCUUGAGUGAAGUAGAGGCAGGCGGAAUUCCUAGUGUAGCGGUGAAAUGCGUAGAUAUUAGGAGGAACACCAGUGGCGAAGGCGGCUUUCUGGACUGUAACUGACACUGAGGUACGAAAGCGUGGGGAGCAAACAGGAUUAGAUACCCCCGUAG